This 466-nucleotide ribosomal RNA is filed under the name uncultured bacterium. Its description in RNAcentral is "bacterial SSU rRNA". It matches the Rfam family "Bacterial small subunit ribosomal RNA", at positions 29 to 491 of the family's 1533-position model. The record is from RNAcentral.
AUUGAACGCUGGCGGCGUGCCUAACACAUGCAAGUCGAGCGGUAACAGGUGUAGCAAUACAUGCUGACGAGCGGCGGACGGGUGAGUAACGCUUGGGAAUCUGCCUAUUAGUGGGGGACAACCCGGGGAAACUCGGGCUAAUACCGCAUACGCACUACGGUGGAAAGCCGGGGACCGCAAGGCCUGGCGCUAACAGAUGAGCCCAAGUCGGAUUAGCUAGUUGGUAGGGUAACGGCCACCAAGGCGACGAUCCGUAACUGGUCUGAGAGGACGACCAGUCACACCGGAACUGAGACACGGUCCGGACUCCUACGGGAGGCAGCAGUGGGGAAUAUUGGACAAUGGCGAAAGCCUGAUCCAGCGACGCCGCGUGGGUGAAGAAGCCUGCGGGUUGUAAAGCCCUUUCAGUGGGAAGAAAAGCCUCGAGCUAACACCUCGGGGUCUUGACGUAACCCAUAGAAGAAGC